GGUUCCCCUCACAGUCACUCAGGUGCGCCGAAGAAGCGGAUGCAGAACCUGCGCCAAUAUGCCAAUUUGUUCCACUGUUCCUUAAAUUGAUCACUUCACGAAGUGGGUCGAGCUCUAUCCCCUUUGGAAGUUUGUGAGAGCUCUGAUCUGGGACCGACUGCUGGAUGUCUUUUCACGGUUUGGAUUCCCGGACCAACUUAUCACUGAUUACAGAUAACGACUUGUACUUCACAAAACACAUCCGGCGCAGCCACAAUUUGUGCACUACUUUCGCAACAUGGCCCGUAGCAUGUGUUCAUGACGGUCACGUGAGUGCAUUCGAAGUUGGCCCGUAAGCUUACUGAUCAUCUUGAAGAGUGCCUUUGCCCGUGGGAUUGGAAUACAGUCUCCAUUGUAGCAUGCACCGUUCCUAGCAUGCAAGCCGAAUACCUGAAAAGGAAUAAAACUGUCAAUAUCGCAUUGCA
Molecule: long non-coding RNA, 464 nt
Organism: Ornithodoros turicata
Lineage: Eukaryota; Metazoa; Arthropoda; Arachnida; Ixodida; Argasidae
Exons: 3
Source: RefSeq, a predicted model, not a curated record